Molecule: ribosomal RNA, 317 nt
Filed under: Prasinoderma coloniale
Lineage: Eukaryota; Viridiplantae; Prasinodermophyta; Prasinodermophyceae; Prasinodermales; Prasinodermaceae
Description: partial Bacterial small subunit ribosomal RNA
Rfam family: Bacterial small subunit ribosomal RNA
Source: RNAcentral
CAGGCCUAACACAUGCAAGUCGAACGGUAACAGGGAUUGCUUGCAAUCCGCUGACGAGUGGCGCACGGGUGCGUAACGCGUAUGGAACCUACCCUUUACUGGGGGAUAGCCCGGAGAAAUUCGGAUUAAUACCCCGUAGUAUUGCUUAGUGGCAUCACUUGAGCAAUUAAAGCUUCGGCGGUAGAGGAUGGCCAUGCGUCCUAUUAGCUUGAUGGUGAGGUAACGGCUCACCAUUGCUACGAUAGGUAGGGGCCCUGAGAGGGGGAUCCCCCACACUGGUACUGAGACACGGACCAGACUCCUACGGGAGGCAGCAG